This 497-nucleotide ribosomal RNA is filed under the name uncultured bacterium. Its description in RNAcentral is "partial 16S ribosomal RNA". It matches the Rfam family "Bacterial small subunit ribosomal RNA", at positions 28 to 507 of the family's 1533-position model. The record is from RNAcentral.
GAUGAACGCUGGCGGCGUGCCUAAUACAUGCAAGUCGAGCGAACAGAUGAGGAGCUUGCUCCUCUGACGUUAGCGGCGGACGGGUGAGUAACACGUGGAUAACCUACCUAUAAGACUGGGAUAACUUCGGGAAACCGGAGCUAAUACCGGAUAAUAUAUUGAACCGCAUGGUUCAAUAGUGAAAGACGGUUUUGCUGUCACUUAUAGAUGGAUCCGCGCCGCAUUAGCUAGUUGGUAAGGUAACGGCUUACCAAGGCAACGAUGCGUAGCCGACCUGAGAGGGGGAUCGGCCACACUGGAACUUGAACACGGUCCAGACUCCUACGGGAGGCAGCAGUAGGGAAUCGUCCGCAAAGGGCGAAAGCCUGACGGAGCAACGCCGCGUGAGUGAUGAAGGUCUUCGGAUCGUAAAACUCUGUUAUUAGGGAAGAACAAAUGUGUAAGUAACUAUGCACGUCUUGACGGUACCUAAUCAGAAAGCCACGGCUAACUACGUG